RNAcentral lists this ribosomal RNA (468 nucleotides) under uncultured bacterium. RNAcentral describes it as "partial 16S ribosomal RNA". It matches the Rfam family "Bacterial small subunit ribosomal RNA", at positions 28 to 507 of the family's 1533-position model. The record is from RNAcentral.
GACGAACGCUGGCGGCGUGCUUAACACAUGCAAGUCGAACGGAAAGGCCCUGCUUUUGUGGGGUGCUCGAGUGGCGAACGGGUGAGUAACACGUGAGUAACCUGCCCUUGACUUUGGGAUAACUUAAGGAAACUGGGGCUAAUACCGGAUAGGAGCUCCUGCGGCAUGGUGGGGGUUGGAAAGUUUCGGCGGUUGGGGAUGGACUCGCGGCUUAUCAGCUUGUUGGUGGGGUAGUGGCUUACCAAGGCUUUGACGGGUAGCCGGCCUGAGAGGGUGACCGGCCACAUUGGGACUGAGAUACGGCCCAGACUCCUACGGGAGGCAGCAGUGGGGAAUAUUGCACAAUGGGCGGAAGCCUGAUGCAGCAACGCCGCGUGCGGGAUGACGGCCUUCGGGUUGUAAACCGCUUUCGCCUGUGACGAAGCGUGAGUGACGGUAAUGGGUAAAGAAGCACCGGCUAACUACGUG